Molecule: long non-coding RNA, 361 nt
Organism: Ceratina calcarata
Lineage: Eukaryota; Metazoa; Arthropoda; Insecta; Hymenoptera; Apidae
Exons: 2
Source: RefSeq, a predicted model, not a curated record
GACGAACGCGCCCGGUCUUCUGUCGGAAUGUAUCGGUAAGCGGUGGUCUGAGAGCCGGUGAACGAGUCUCGAAUGCCGCUGACACCAGAUUGGCAUGGAGGCUUCGAAGAAUGGAAGUCAUUGGAAAAUUACCGAGCAGGUAUCGCGUUAUAUCGAGCAUGAGAAAUAAAAUCAGGACUCGUUCUAUCAUUAAUCUACACCCCCGUUCAGCCGGUCUUGGGAUAUAUUGCAAAAUGUUUUAACUGCGCGAAGGAACGAGUUGAAAUUUCUGAUACUUCAACAGAUGUAAUGAUUAAACAAAGAUUUAAUGUAAAAUUUAUUCUUCAAUGAGUUCUUCGACAUUAAAAAUCUUUGGAUGCUU